This 131-nucleotide small nucleolar RNA is filed under the name Procavia capensis (Cape rock hyrax). RNAcentral's name for it is "Small nucleolar RNA SNORA3/SNORA45 family (ENSPCAG00000020143.1)". It matches the Rfam family "Small nucleolar RNA SNORA3/SNORA45 family". From Rfam's summary of the family: The members of this family belong to the H/ACA class of snoRNAs which are thought to guide the sites of modification of uridines to pseudouridines. This family includes mouse snoMBI-28 and human homologues ACA3 (SNORA3) and ACA3-2 (SNORA45). Lineage: Eukaryota; Metazoa; Chordata; Mammalia; Hyracoidea; Procaviidae. The record is from RNAcentral.
CUCGAGACUAGAGUCACAUCUCGACACAGCCGUUGUCCUGGUGUGCUAGAGUCCUCGGAGAAAAUCUGCUGGUCUUGAUUCACUGGCGGGGGCAAUCAGUGCAUCCGCUAGUGCCCUGGUCAGAAACAACG